GACGAACGCGGGCGGCGUGCUUAACACAUGCAAGUCGAACGUGAUUUUUGUGGAAAUUCUUUCGGGAAUGGAAAUGAAAUGAAAGUGGCGAACGGGUGAGUAACACGUGAGCAACCUACCUUACACAGGGGGAUAGCCGUUGGAAACGACGAUUAAUACCGCAUGAGACCACAGAAUCGCAUGAUAUAGGGGUCAAAGAUUUAUCGGUGUAAGAAGGGCUCGCGUCUGAUUAGCUAGUUGGAAGGGUAAAGGCCUACCAAGGCGACGAUCAGUAGCCGGUCUGAGAGGAUGAACGGCCACAUUGGAACUGAGACACGGUCCAAACUCCUACGGGAGGCAGCAGUGGGGAAUAUUGCACAAUGGGGGGAACCCUGAUGCAGCGGCGCCGCGUGAGCGAAGAAGGUUUUCGAAUCGUAAAGCUCUGUCCUAUGAG
This 433-nucleotide ribosomal RNA is filed under the name Parvimonas micra. Its description in RNAcentral is "bacterial SSU rRNA". It matches the Rfam family "Bacterial small subunit ribosomal RNA", at positions 28 to 444 of the family's 1533-position model. The record is from RNAcentral. Lineage: Bacteria; Bacillati; Bacillota; Tissierellia; Tissierellales; Peptoniphilaceae.